UACGUAGGGGGCGAGCGUUGUCCGGAAUUAUUGGGCGUAAAGAGCGUGUAGGCGGUCCGGUAAGUCCGCUGUGAAAGUCCAGGGCUCAACCCUGGAAUGCCGGUGGAUACUGCCGGGCUAGAGUCCGGAAGAGGCGAGUGGAAUUCCUGGUGUAGCGGUGAAAUGCGCAGAUAUCAGGAGGAACACCGAUGGCGAAGGCAGCUCGCUGGGACGGUACUGACGCUGAGACGCGAAAGCGUGGGGAGCGAACAGG
This 253-nucleotide ribosomal RNA is filed under the name uncultured bacterium. Its description in RNAcentral is "partial 16S ribosomal RNA". It matches the Rfam family "Bacterial small subunit ribosomal RNA", at positions 524 to 776 of the family's 1533-position model. The record is from RNAcentral.